RNAcentral lists this ribosomal RNA (268 nucleotides) under Escherichia coli. RNAcentral's name for it is "partial 16S ribosomal RNA". It matches the Rfam family "Bacterial small subunit ribosomal RNA", at positions 1 to 265 of the family's 1533-position model. The record is from RNAcentral. Lineage: Bacteria; Pseudomonadati; Pseudomonadota; Gammaproteobacteria; Enterobacterales; Enterobacteriaceae.
AAAUUGAAGAGUUUGAUCAUGGCUCAGAUUGAACGCUGGCGGCAGGCCUAACACAUGCAAGUCGAACGGUAACAGGAAGAAGCUUGCUUCUUUGCUGACGAGUGGCGGACGGGUGAGUAAUGUCUGGGAAGCUGCCUGAUGGAGGGGGAUAACUACUGGAAACGGUAGCUAAUACCGCAUAACGUCGCAAGACCAAAGAGGGGGACCUUCGGGCCUCUUGCCAUCGGAUGUGCCCAGAUGGGAUUAGCUAGUAGGUGGGGUAACGGCU